Molecule: long non-coding RNA, 303 nt
Filed under: Mytilus galloprovincialis (Mediterranean mussel)
Lineage: Eukaryota; Metazoa; Mollusca; Bivalvia; Mytilida; Mytilidae
Source: RNAcentral
GCCGCUUCCAAAAUUAUUUUUUCAAAUAAUCACGUAUUCGUAUUUCAUAAAUCAUGCCAGUAGUGGAGUACUUGAUACUGGGGAUCAUGAUACCUUCGUGAGUUUAUCACACCUUUUAAUACUGCAUUAAGCAGAGUAAUCAGUGGCGGAUCCAGGAGUUGGACCCCCUUUUUGACGACCAAUGAUUUUGAAUGGGAACCUGGGUUGGACAUCCCCUUUUAACUUGAAAUGUCUGGUAAUCGACCUAGUGGUACUAACAUCAUUAGCAGUGCCUUUUUUUUGGCGAAACUAUUUUUACACCAU